CUUUCUAGAAUGUGCUCUCAUGCAGAGGGAGAAUUGAAUCCUCCAUUUUGUCAAAAGGUGCCAGAAUAGAGCUGAUGCAGAUUAAUGUGGUCUUUUGAGAACAAUAUUUAUAACAAACAAAAAACACGAUUUAACACGGAUUUGGUCAGCUAUUUUUGUUCCUGUGGAAACGAGAGUUCUGGAUAUUCAACUGAUGACAAGCCCCUCAAGGAUCCCCAAGAAUCUGGACACUAAUUGACUGAGUAGGCCCAAAACUUCAAAUUUUCUUCAAUUUAAGGAUGGCUGCAGUAUUGAGAGAUCUACCUGGAAUGACUGACAACAUGGAUCUAUUCUGGAGUGGGUUGGAUUUGCAUAUUGCUCUGCAGAUGACAGACUGAUGUCUGAAUCUCCCACUAUCUCGCUAUUUGGACCUGGUGCUGUGGAUGUGUGGUUCCACUUACACGGUUGAGGAGGUCAUCGUCUCUCUCCACUAAACCAAGCCCCCUGACAAGAUACAGCCAUGAGUCACCAGUCUUUCCUCAGGCAAGGAAAUCUGUUUCGAACAGCGCGGACCUAACAGCAAAAGUAAGGGACCCUUCCUUCAUUUCUGUUCGGACUGCUUUAAAGAAGUUCCCCAUUCUCCGGUCCCUAUCUUUAGAGUCCAAUCCUGAGAUAGUUCCUGUCCGUGAGUCCAUUCCAGUGGAUGUAAUCUCUGAAUCCAUUCCAGUAUGAGAAAUCUCCACAUCAGUUCCAGAGAGAGAAAGUCAUCAGUCCCGCCCUGUCAUGGCCGCCAUUCCAGAGUCUCGUCCCGUCAUGGCCGCCAUUUCAGAGUCUAGCCUGUGAGGGCUGCUGCGCCUGAGCCCUCAGCCAAAAUGGCCGUGAGCUGCCGGCUCCUCCCUGGCUCCCUGAACAGCUGGUGCCUCCCUGGCUCCCUGAGCUGCCGCCGCAUCCCUGGUCACCUGACACAUCUCCAAGACGAUCACCACAUACAUUGUUCUCACCGUCAUUCAUCCUCGUAGAUCCUAUCCUAAUCAUCCGACUGCUUCCCAUCCAUCUCUACAAAGAAACAGAGACUGUUACUACAGAGUUAAGUUCUUUCCAACGAUUUACAUUCCAUAUACUCACCUUUGAUUCACCUGAUCCCAGCUACCAAUGUCAAUAAACAUUGUAAAUGAUAUUACCUGUGUUGUCUCCUUCUGUAUGCUGACAAUAAUAGUAAUAUAACUGUUGUAAGGUCAAUUCAAAAUGUGUUCAUUCAUAAACAGAUAAAAAAAAAAAAAGAAAAAGGAAGAAUGAAGCAAAUAACACCCAUCUCCCAAUCACCUGUCAAUAUUUAUCUUUUACUCUGCAAAAGUACAGUGUUAGAUACUGUAAAGCAUCACUGC
Long non-coding RNA from Megalobrama amblycephala (Wuchang bream), 1364 nucleotides. RefSeq lists it as uncharacterized. The transcript has 4 exons. NCBI's taxonomy places the organism in Eukaryota, Metazoa, Chordata, Actinopteri, Cypriniformes, Xenocyprididae. The record is from RefSeq and is a predicted model, not a curated record.